GGGGGGGGGGGGGGGGGGGGGGGGGGGGGGGGGGGCGGGGGGAGGGGACAGCGGAAGCUUGGUUUGGGUGGGCGUCGACCGGCGCGCGGGGGGGUGACGCGUAGCCAGGCUGCCCAGCACUUGGGGAUAAGCGUGCGCAAGUAAGACUAAUACCCAAUGAUAUCUCUAGAAGACAUCUGAAAGCGAGUAAAGAUUUAUCGGUGAUGGACGGGGAUGCGUCUGAUUAGCUUGUGGGCGGGGUACCGUCCCAACAAGGCAACGAUCAGUAGGGGUUCUGAGAGGAAGGUCCCCCACAUUGGAACUGAGACACGGUCCAAACUCCUACGGGAGGCAGCAGUGAGGAAUAUUGGUCAAUGGGAGAGAGCCUGAACCAGCCAAGUAGCGUGCAGGAAGACGGCCCUAUGGGUUGUAAACUGCUUUUAUAAGGGAAUAAAGUGAGAGUCGUGACUCUUUUUGUAUGUACCUUAUGAAUAAGGACCGGCUAAUUCCGUG
RNAcentral lists this ribosomal RNA (492 nucleotides) under uncultured bacterium. Its description in RNAcentral is "partial 16S ribosomal RNA". It matches the Rfam family "Bacterial small subunit ribosomal RNA", at positions 27 to 507 of the family's 1533-position model. The record is from RNAcentral.